AGACCUGGUGAUUCGAACUAAUUGUAAUUUACGAAAAUAAUUAUCGACUCCUCAGGUACCC
Molecule: non-coding RNA, 61 nt
Filed under: Spodoptera frugiperda (fall armyworm)
Lineage: Eukaryota; Metazoa; Arthropoda; Insecta; Lepidoptera; Noctuidae
Source: RNAcentral